Molecule: ribosomal RNA, 387 nt
Filed under: uncultured bacterium
Lineage: Bacteria
Description: bacterial SSU rRNA
Rfam family: Bacterial small subunit ribosomal RNA
Source: RNAcentral
AGCGAACGUUUGCGGCGGGCCUAACACAUGCAAGUCGAACGGGCUAGCAAUAGUCAGUGGCGCACGGGUGCGUAACACGUGGGUAAUCAACCCUUCAGCUCGGGAUAACGCCUUGAAAGGGGCGCUAAUACCGGAUGCGACGCGAGGAGCCUCGGCGCUUCGCGGGAAAGAUUCGCAAGGAUCACUGAAGGACGAGCCUGCGGCCCAUCAGCUAGUUGGUGAGGUAAGAGCUCACCAAGGCGAAGACGGGUAGCUGGUCUGAGAGGAUGACCAGUCACACCGGAACUGAGACACGGUCCGGACUCCUACGGGAGGCAGCAGUGGGGAAUAUUGGACAAUGGGCGCAAGCCUGAUCCAGCCAUGCCGCGUGGGUGAAGAAGGCCUCGG